Molecule: long non-coding RNA, 1659 nt
Filed under: Pongo abelii (Sumatran orangutan)
Lineage: Eukaryota; Metazoa; Chordata; Mammalia; Primates; Hominidae
Description: lincRNA
Source: RNAcentral
UUAGGAGAUAAAAAUGACAAAGGAGAACCUCCUGAACAGAAUCCAGUUUGCCUUUAGCUUUAGCCAUCUCUCUGACCUCAGUGCUGCUGGACUCAGUUCCAAGAUCUAACUGUCAAAUGCUUUAAGGGAAAUGGGAGGAGGAGAAGUCCCUGGAGUAACCCGUGUAUGCAGCCUGGCACUGUUUUCAUUUGCCUUUGGAAAUGAAGGUGCAGAAACCAUGGGAGGAAUCUGAUGAAAUGCCUGGUCUAACAGGAAGGAUGCAGAGAAAGUUAUGAAGAGGGGGGGAUCCUGAGGAAUUUGCUCCUGGGCCGUGAAGAUGGGAAGCUGAGUCAGAGUGCAGUUCUUCACCCAAUCCCACAGCCACAUGUGCCUGCUUGCUCACGGGAUCUUCCCACUCUCCUCGGGAAGGCUUCCGAGCUGCUUCCUCAGGAUGUCCUGUGAUUGCAGCCUGACCUGUCAAAGCCAUGCGAAUACCAUCUGUUCAGUUAUAUAACUUGAGAUCUCAACAGGUGGGGUUUCACUACAUUGGCCAGGCUGGUCUUGAACUUCUGACCUCAGUGGCUUCUAGAAGAGUGAGUCUGGAAAAUACUGCCCCUACUUUCAAAUGGGAGAAAGCCUCCCUUGUACUAAGUUUGCAAUCAUUAGAAAACUGUUGAUAUACAGCAAAAGAAACUACCAUCAGAGUGAACAGGCAACCUACAGAAUGGGAGAAAAUUUUUGCAAUCUACUUAUCUGACAAAGGGCUAAUAUCCAGAAUCUAUAAAGAACUCAAACAAAUUUACAAGAAAAAACAAACAACCCCAUCAAAAAGUGGGCAAAGGAUAUGAACAGACACUUCUCAAAAGAAGACAUUUAUGUAGCCAACAGACACAUGAAAAAAUGCUCAUCAUCACUGGCCAUCAGAGAAAUGCCAAUCAAAACCACAAUGUGAUACCAUCUCACACCAGUUAGAAUGGCAAUCAUUAAAAAGUCAGGAAACAACAGGUGCUGGAGAGGAUGUGGAGAAAUAGGAACACUUUUACACUGUUGGUGGGACUGUAAACUGGUUCAACCAUUGUGGAAGACAGCGUGGUGAUUCCUCAAGGAUCUAGAACUAGAAAUACCAUUUGACCCAGCCAUCCCAUUACAGGGUAUAUACCCAAAGGAUUAUAAAUCAUGCUGCUAUAAAGACACAUGCACACGUAUGUUUAUUGUGGCACUAUUCACAAUAGCAAAGACUUGGAACCAACCCAAAUGUCCAUCAAUGAUAGACUAGUUUAAGAAAAUGUGGCACAUAUACACCAUGGAAUACUAUGCAGCCAUAAAAAAGGAUGAGUUCAUGUCCUUUGUAGGGACAUGGAUGAAGCUGGAAACCAUCAUUCUCAGCAAACUAUCGCAAGGACAAAAAACCAAACACCGCAUGUUCUCACUCAUAGGUGGGAAUUGAACAAUGAGAACACUUGGACACAGGAAGGGGAACAUCACACACUGGGGACUGUUGUGGGAUGGGGGGAGGGGAGAGGGAUAGCAUUAGGAGAUAUACCUAAUGUAAAUGACGAGUUAAUGUGUGCAGCACACCAACAUGGCACAUGUAUACAUACGCAACAAAUCUGCACGUUGUGCACAUGUACCCUAGAACUUAAAGUAUAAUAAAAAAUAAAAUAAAGAAAUAAAAUAAAA